RNAcentral lists this ribosomal RNA (245 nucleotides) under uncultured archaeon. RNAcentral describes it as "partial 16S ribosomal RNA". It matches the Rfam family "Archaeal small subunit ribosomal RNA", at positions 474 to 720 of the family's 1478-position model. The record is from RNAcentral.
CACCGGCGUCCUGAGUGGGAAUCACUUAUUAGGUCUAAAGCGCUCGUAGUUGGCUUUGUAAAUUUCUUGUGAAAUCGUGUCGCUUAACGGCACGGCGUGCAGGAAACACUGCAAAGCUUGGGACUGGGAGGCGUCAGAAGUAUUCCUUAGGGAGCGGUAAAAUGUGAUAAUCUAAGGAGGACUACCUGUGGCGAAGGCGUCUGACGAGAACAGGUUCGACAAUCAGGAGCGAAGGCUAGGGGAGC